GCGGUUGUGACUCAGAGAUAGAGUGCUCGCUUUGCAUGUGAGAAAACCGGAGUUCAAUCCUCCGCAACUCCA
This is a non-coding RNA of Daphnia pulex (common water flea), 72 nucleotides long. Lineage: Eukaryota; Metazoa; Arthropoda; Branchiopoda; Diplostraca; Daphniidae. The record is from Rfam.